This 495-nucleotide ribosomal RNA is filed under the name uncultured bacterium. Its description in RNAcentral is "partial 16S ribosomal RNA". It matches the Rfam family "Bacterial small subunit ribosomal RNA", at positions 28 to 507 of the family's 1533-position model. The record is from RNAcentral.
GACGAACGCUGGCGGCGUGCCUAAUACAUGCAAGUAGAACGCUGAAGGAGGAGCUUGCUUCUCUGGAUGAGUUGCGAACGGGUGAGUAACGCGUAGGUAACCUGCCUGGUAGCGGGGGAUAACUAUUGGAAACGAUAGCUAAUACCGCAUAAUAGUAGAUGUUGCAUGACAUUUGCUUAAAAGGUGCAAUUGCAUCACUACCAGAUGGACCUGCGUUGUAUUAGCUAGUUGGUGGGGUAACGGCUCACCAAGGCGACGAUACAUAGCCGACCUGAGAGGGUGAUCGGCCACACUGGGACUGAGACACGGCCCAGACUCCUACGGGAGGCAGCAGUAGGGAAUCUUCGGCAAUGGACGGAAGUCUGACCGAGCAACGCCGCGUGAGUGAAGAAGGUUUUCAGAUCGUAAAGCUCUGUUGUAAGAGAAGAACGAGUGUGAGAGUGGAAAGUUCACACUGUGACGGUAUCUUACCAGAAAGGGACGGCUAACUACGUG